GACGAACGCUGGCGGCGUGCUUAACACAUGCAAGUCGAACGAUGAAAGAGGAGCUUGCUCCUCUGGAUUAGUGGCGAACGGGUGAGUAACACGUGAGCAAUCUGCCCCUGACUCCGGAAUAACUACGGGAAACUGUAGCUAAUACCGGAGAUGCGCCGAACAGGCAUCUGGAUCGGUGGGAAAGAAUUUCGGUCAGGGAUGGGCGCGCGGCCUAUCAGCUUGUGGGUGAGGUAACGGCUAACCCAGGCGACGACGGGUGGCCGGCCUGGGAGGGUGACCGGCCACAUUGGGCCUGAGACACGGCCCAGACUCCUACGGGAGGCAGCAGUGGGGAAUAUUGCACAAUGGGCGCAAGCCUGUUGCAGCAACGCCGCGUGAGGGAUGACGGCCUUCUGGUUGUAAACCUCUUUUAGCAGGGAACAAGCGAAAGUGACGGUACCUGCAGAAAAAGCGCCGGCUAACUACGUG
RNAcentral lists this ribosomal RNA (468 nucleotides) under uncultured bacterium. RNAcentral describes it as "partial 16S ribosomal RNA". It matches the Rfam family "Bacterial small subunit ribosomal RNA", at positions 28 to 507 of the family's 1533-position model. The record is from RNAcentral.